RNAcentral lists this long non-coding RNA (474 nucleotides) under Bos indicus x Bos taurus (hybrid cattle). Its description in RNAcentral is "lncRNA (ENSBIXG00005013570.1)". The record is from RNAcentral. Lineage: Eukaryota; Metazoa; Chordata; Mammalia; Artiodactyla; Bovidae.
GCCAGCUUUUCAAACUCUGGUCUUAUCUGCGUAAAAGCGUAUCUCUUUCAUAAAUAUAACUGAUUAAACCUUUGUAUAUAUUCACAUAGUUAGCAUUUAAGAACAAUAGGUUUAAGUGAGGAGAGUUGGAAGAGAAGAGCAUCUUUGUAUUUUCAGUGGUAUGAUCAUUGCUGUUUUCUUAGAUUAUUAACAUUUUUCUCUUCUCAGCAGAAUCUGUUUUGCAAUCAGAAGUGGAGUGGCAAGAAAGUUUAACCAGCAGUGGAGCAGCAGUUCCUGUGGAUUUCCAGCGUUUUUCUGGCUCUCCACUAAGCCGAUUAAAACUUUCUCAAUGACGCCAAAAAGGGCCCCCAUGAUUGGAUAUCCCCAAAGGAGGAGCUGAGAAUGGAGAGGAUCUAGGGGUGGGUGAGGAAUGCAAAGCAGUUUGGAGAAGCAAGGUUAAGUGUAUUCAGGCCUGGGGAAUUGAGGACAUCUGGC